Molecule: ribosomal RNA, 384 nt
Filed under: uncultured bacterium
Lineage: Bacteria
Description: bacterial SSU rRNA
Rfam family: Bacterial small subunit ribosomal RNA
Source: RNAcentral
AUUGAACGCUGGCGGCAUGCCUUACACAUGCAAGUCGAACGGCAGCACGGGAGCAAUCCUGGUGGCGAGUGGCGAACGGGUGAGUAAUGUAUCGGAACGUGCCCAGUCGUGGGGGAUAACGCAGCGAAAGCUGUGCUAAUACCGCAUGAGACCUGAGGGUGAAAGCGGGGGAUCGCAAGACCUCGCGCUAUUGGAGCGGCCGAUAUCAGAUUAGCUAGUUGGUGGGGUAAAGGCCUACCAAGGCAACGAUCUGUAGUUGGUCUGAGAGGACGACCAGCCACACUGGGACUGAGACACGGCCCAGACUCCUACGGGAGGCAGCAGUGGGGAAUUUUGGACAAUGGGCGCAAGCCUGAUCCAGCAAUGCCGCGUGCAGGAAGAAGG